Molecule: long non-coding RNA, 599 nt
Filed under: Volvox carteri
Lineage: Eukaryota; Viridiplantae; Chlorophyta; Chlorophyceae; Chlamydomonadales; Volvocaceae
Description: long non-coding RNA (VCAR_LNC002379)
Source: RNAcentral
GCCACGGGUUCGAGCUAUUCAGGGAGUGGGCGUAUGGGGGCAUCCGUGGUGGGUGGAGAAGGGUAGGCAGGUACAGGUGGGGGGUCCAUUGGGUGUACGGCCAAGCAGGUACAGGUGGGGGGUCCAUUGGGUGUACGGCCAAGCAGGUACAGGUGGGGAGUCCAUUGGGUGUACGGCCAAGCAGGUACAGGUGGGGAGUCCAUUGGGUGUACGGCCAAGCAGGUACAGGUGGGGAGUCCAUUGGGUGUACGGCCAAGCAGGUACAGGUGGGGAGUCCAUUGGGUGUACGGCCAAGCAGGUACAGGUGGGGGGUCCAUUGGGUGUACGGCCAAGCAGGUACAGGUGGGGAGUCCAUUGGGUGUACGACCAAGCAGGUACAGGUGGGGGGUCCAUUGGGUGUACGGCCAAGCAGGUACAGGUGGGGGGUCCAUUGGGUGUACGGCCAAGCAGGUACAGGUGGGGAGUCCAUUGGGUGUACGACCAAGCAGGUACAGGUGGGGGGUCCAUUGGGUGUACGACCAAGCAGGUACACCCUGGUGCAGACGUGUUUUUGAGCAUCACGACUUUUGCGGCUGCAUGGGAGUUUGAGAACUGCCUUG